This 440-nucleotide ribosomal RNA is filed under the name uncultured bacterium. RNAcentral describes it as "partial 16S ribosomal RNA". It matches the Rfam family "Bacterial small subunit ribosomal RNA", at positions 338 to 795 of the family's 1533-position model. The record is from RNAcentral.
CCUACGGGUGGCAGCAGUAGGGAAUAUUGCUCAAUGGGGGAAACCCUGAAGCAGCAACGCCGCGUGGAGGAUGAAGGUUUUCGGAUUGUAAACUCCUUUUGUUAGAGAAGAGAAUGACGGUAUCUAACGAAUAAGCACCGGCUAACUCCGUGCCAGCAGCCGCGGUAAUACGGGAGGUGCAAGCGUUACUCGGAAUCACUGGGCGUAAAGAGCGCGUAGGCGGGGUAGCAAGUCAGAUGUGAAAUCCUUGGGCUUAACCAUAGAACUGCAUUUGAAACUGUUAUUCUAGAGUAUGGGAGAGGUAGGUGGAAUUCUCGGUGUAGCGGUAAAAUCCGGAGAGAUCAAGAGGAAUACACAUUGCGAAGGCAUCUCACGACUCCGCAAUUGACGCUGAUGCACGAAAGCGUGGGUAUCAAACAGGAUUAGAUACCCUUGUAGUC